AUGCAGCCGGAGGGCAAUCUAUCUUUUGACCCGGUCUGCAUAUGGCUAUGGUUCAGAUACAGACUAAAUACUUUCUUUCGUGCUUUGAUCUCAGCUGGUGGAAGUAGAGUGGCUAUUGCUCCUGACCAUUCAAACUUUUCCCAAUCUUCCGGAUAGUAACCGCGCCAUUCAUAGCCAUCGGGGAAACAGCCCUCUUCCCUCGGUCCGUCUUGCUUCUGCUUGA
Non-coding RNA from Vicia faba (fava bean), 223 nucleotides. The record is from the annotation of a GenBank genome assembly. NCBI's taxonomy places the organism in Eukaryota, Viridiplantae, Streptophyta, Magnoliopsida, Fabales, Fabaceae.